This 284-nucleotide ribosomal RNA is filed under the name uncultured bacterium. RNAcentral's name for it is "partial 16S ribosomal RNA". It matches the Rfam family "Bacterial small subunit ribosomal RNA", at positions 335 to 612 of the family's 1533-position model. The record is from RNAcentral.
ACUCCUACGGAGGCAGCAGUCGAGAAUAAUUCACAAUGGGGAACCCGAUGAUGGUGCAACGCCGCGUGGAGGAUGAAGGCCCUAGGGUCGUAAACUCCUGUCAUUCGAGAGCAAGACCUGGGUGUUAACAGCACACAGGGUUGAUAGUAUCGAAAGAGGAAGGGACGGCUAACUUCGUGCCAGCAGCCGCGGUAAUACGAAGGUCCCGAGCGUUGUUCGGAAUCACUGGGCGUAAAGGGAGCGUAGGCGGUUCGGUAAGUCAGGUGUGAAAUCCCGGGGCUCAA